Perca flavescens (yellow perch) is the source of this 1131-nucleotide long non-coding RNA. RefSeq lists it as uncharacterized. Lineage: Eukaryota; Metazoa; Chordata; Actinopteri; Perciformes; Percidae. The record is from RefSeq and is a predicted model, not a curated record. The transcript has 3 exons.
UUUCACAUCACAGUAGAUUAGCCUAGAUGUAGCUUAAUUAGCUUGGUUGUGCCGAUUCAAGCAGUUCAGUUUCCCCAAAUGACAGCCUUAACACAACUUACCGUGGGAUGCUCGCAGUCAGGGUUUAGUUGAAAGUGAAACGCACACUGAAAGACAUACAUUUCCCACAUUUCAUUGCUGAGUAGUCGAUUCUCAGAUUCCCAGAUUCAAUGUCGAACUUAAACUCGUUCUCUCUCGGCUCAGUGGAAGAGAGCAGCUCCUCAUCUUUUACUGGUCUCUAAAGUCUAAACUCUGGAGUUGUCGACGGUUAGCUGGAAGUCACACCCCCACCUCCCCCCUCCUUCACCCCGUGCAGGGAGAGCAGGGAGAGCAGGGACGGGGCUGCAGGUCAGUCCAAUUCAUGAAGCAAAUCAAAUCCUGCCAGGAGACCACAGUUCAUUUGGCCGGCUCAGGGAUGGGUGGAGCACGCUCCAGUCUCAUGGUCCAGGGUUCAGAGGUCGCAGCGUAAAACGGAGAGUGGCUGCCAGGGAGGGAACAGCCCCCCCAGGUGGGACGCGGAACUCAGGAAGCUCAGGUACGACCGGAAGUCGGCUUCAUCCUUUAACGGGCCCAGAGCGUGACCUUCUGACGGCACUGACCCAGCGUUCAUGGUGCUGCCUAAGCCCGAGCUGACAAACUCCUUCAGGAAGUUGCCGUGGAGCAGACUGAGCGGGAUUUCCUCUUUCAUCUCCUCCUUUAUGAUUUCUCUUUUCACAGCUAGAUCGAGGGGCCUGGAGGCCUCGAGCGAUGCAGAUUUGGGGAAGGCGUGGGGGAGCCUGCUUUGCUGUGAGGCUCCUGUGUGGGGAUGCUGGUGGUGGCUGGGGUCCAGGAGCUGCUUGGGGAAGGAUGGGAACUCGGCGGCCCACAUGGAGGGGUAGAAGCCUGGGAGGAGAGGAGAGAAGUUGGCCCUCCUGUCCAGUGUUGACAUACGGGGGUAGAGACCCUCCUGCAGGAGAGACUCGAUAGAGAAAUCCUUCAAAGCCCGACUCUCCACACUCUCCUGCAACACAAGAUGCAUGAAUAUUUUUCAUCAGCCUUUUGAACUUAGAAAUAGUCAUUUAAAGGUGCUCUAAGCGAUGUUGGGUGACAUUA